Molecule: ribosomal RNA, 253 nt
Filed under: uncultured bacterium
Lineage: Bacteria
Description: partial 16S ribosomal RNA
Rfam family: Bacterial small subunit ribosomal RNA
Source: RNAcentral
GACAGAGGAUGCAAGCGUUAUCCGGAAUGAUUGGGCGUAAAGCGUCUGUAGGUGGCUUUUUAGGUCCGCCGUCAAAUCCCAGGGCUCAACCCUGGACAGGCGGUGGAAACUACCAAGCUGGAGUACGGUAGGGGCAGAGGGAAUUUCCAGUGGAGCGGUGAAAUGCGUAGAUAUUGGAAAGACCACCGAUGGCGAAGGCACUCUACUGGGCCACUACUGACACUGAGAGACGAAAGCUAGGGGAGCAAAUGGG